Sorex araneus (European shrew) is the source of this 138-nucleotide small nucleolar RNA. Its record names the gene SNORA70. It matches the Rfam family "Small nucleolar RNA SNORA70". From Rfam's summary of the family: snoRNA U70 seems to be exclusive to mammals and is a member of the H/ACA class of snoRNA which contain H (ANANNA) and ACA box motifs. H/ACA box snoRNAs are involved in the conversion of uridines to pseudouridines (5-ribosyluracil) a constituent of structural RNAs (transfer, ribosomal, small nuclear, and small nucleolar). The record is from Ensembl. NCBI's taxonomy places the organism in Eukaryota, Metazoa, Chordata, Mammalia, Eulipotyphla, Soricidae.
ACGCAAGCAAUUAAGCCCAUUGCACUCUCUGCCCCAUGGGGCCUGGUGUGCAAUAACUGCAGACAGCAAGCAGUCUCCUCAGUAGUGUCUGCAGCCUGUGGCUUGUAUGGGCUAUUCCAAGGAACUUUGGAGACAGUC